Molecule: long non-coding RNA, 747 nt
Organism: Peromyscus eremicus (cactus mouse)
Lineage: Eukaryota; Metazoa; Chordata; Mammalia; Rodentia; Cricetidae
Exons: 4
Source: RefSeq, a predicted model, not a curated record
GUUCUGAGAGUUCAAUCUGUGGUUUGAAUCUGCCAUGCACUCUUACCAUAGUAUGCUGCUUCAUCAUAGUGCCAAGCAGAAAUAAUGAGCUAGAGCAUCUAAAAUGAGAUAGCAUAUAAGAGAGAAGCACACAUGGAACAAUAGAACAUAGAUGGAAAGGAUCUAUUUCCCAAGAAAAGUAUGAUGAGAAAGUGGAUGGAUACUGGACGUAAGGAUAGGAUCUCAAACUCACAAGAAACAGCAGGAGUGGACUCAAUACUGAGCUGAAGAAAGACAGAAGAGGAACAGAGAGAAGAGGUCGAGAUCAAAGCCACAGAGGAGCAGAGCCGUGAGCUGUCUUGUGCUUUGAACACCACACACACAGAACAGAAGAGCAAGCUCUGUGAACUUAGACUCCACACUCCAAGGUGCUCCUCCUUCAAAAGCAUCAAGACAACACAGUCACAUGAAAUAUUGAACAGAAAGUUAUUUUGAGGUCCCAUGAACCUGAAAGUAUCAUAAGACAAAGUAAUAAGCAAGAUAACUUCCUUGCAGAUGAUAAAACACACCACAACCACUUUUCCAUAGAAAGAGUGUAAGUGCAAUGUGCUUUAUAGAAAUUAGCCUAAAACACUUUAAGGGCAUGAUACAUAUUAUGGAAAAGCAAUGUAAAUCAGAAUUUUGAAGAAUUUUUUUUGUUUUGGAAAAUCAUUUCAAAAAUGAUUGCACUUUUAGACAACGUAUAUAUGGUGACAUCACACUAAGUGA